AUGAACGCUGGCGGCGUGCCUAAUACAUGCAAGUCGAGCGAACAGACGAGGAGCUUGCUCCUCUGACGUUAGCGGCGGACGGGUGAGUAACACGUGGAUAACCUACCUAUAAGACUGGGAUAACUUCGGGAAACCGGAGCUAAUACCGGAUAAUAUAUUGAACCGCAUGGUUCAAUAGUGAAAGACGGUUUUGCUGUCACUUAUAGAUGGAUCCGCGCCGCAUUAGCUAGUUGGUAAGGUAACGGCUUACCAAGGCAACGAUGCGUAGCCGACCUGAGAGGGUGAUCGGCCACACUGGAACUGAGACACGGUCCAGACUCCUACGUGAGGCAGCAGUAGGGAAUCUUCCGCAAUGGGCGAAAGCCUGACGGAGCAACGCCGCGUGAGUGAUGAAGGUCUUCGGAUCGUAAAACUCUGUUAUUAGGGAAGAACAAAUGUGUAAGUAACUAUGCACGUCUUGACGGUACCUAAUCAGAAAGCCACGGCUAACUACGUG
Molecule: ribosomal RNA, 496 nt
Filed under: uncultured bacterium
Lineage: Bacteria
Description: partial 16S ribosomal RNA
Rfam family: Bacterial small subunit ribosomal RNA
Source: RNAcentral